This 84-nucleotide transfer RNA is filed under the name Podarcis lilfordi (Lilford's wall lizard). Its description in RNAcentral is "tRNA.Ile". The stretch from base 5 to 75 matches the Rfam family "tRNA", at positions 5 to 66 of the family's 71-position model. Rfam says of the family: Transfer RNA (tRNA) molecules are approximately 80 nucleotides in length. Their secondary structure includes four short double-helical elements and three loops (D, anti-codon, and T loops). Further hydrogen bonds mediate the characteristic L-shaped molecular structure. tRNAs have two regions of fundamental functional importance: the anti-codon, which is responsible for specific mRNA codon recognition, and the 3' end, to which the tRNAs corresponding amino acid is attached (by aminoacyl-tRNA synthetases). tRNAs cope with the degeneracy of the genetic code in two manners: having more than one tRNA (with a specific anti-codon) for a particular amino acid; and 'wobble' base-pairing, i.e. permitting non-standard base-pairing at the 3rd anti-codon position. The record is from RNAcentral. Lineage: Eukaryota; Metazoa; Chordata; Lepidosauria; Squamata; Lacertidae.
GACUGGAUAGCUCAGUUGGUUAGAGUGUGGUGCUGAUAAUGCCAAGGUUGUAGGUUCCAUCCAGCUGCCUAUUCCUGCAUUGCA